CCGGCGCACGGGUGAGUAACGCGUAUGCAAUCUGCCCGUUUCAGCGGGAUAACCCGGAGAAAUCCGGCCUAAUACCGCAUGUGGCCGAGGGGAGGCAUCUUCUUUCGGCCAAAGGAGGCGACUCCGGAGACGGAUGGGCAUGCGUGACAUUAGCUAGUUGGCGGGGUAACGGCCCACCAAGGCGACGAUGUCUAGGGGUUCUGAGAGGAAGGUCCCCCACACUGGUACUGAGACACGGACCAGACUCCUACGGAAGGCAGCAG
Molecule: ribosomal RNA, 263 nt
Filed under: uncultured bacterium
Lineage: Bacteria
Description: partial 16S ribosomal RNA
Rfam family: Bacterial small subunit ribosomal RNA
Source: RNAcentral